Molecule: non-coding RNA, 30 nt
Filed under: Mus musculus (house mouse)
Lineage: Eukaryota; Metazoa; Chordata; Mammalia; Rodentia; Muridae
Source: RNAcentral
AUGCCUCUUGAAGUGAACUUUGAACCCGCU